ACGGGGCCCGCACAAGCGGUGGAUUAUGUGGAUUAAUUCGAUGCAACGCGAAAAACCUUACCUGGCCUUGACAUGCCACUAACGAAGCAGAGAUGCAUUAGGUGCCGAAAGGGAAGUGGACACAGGUGCUGCAUGGCUGUCGUCAGCUCGUGUCGUGAGAUGUUGGGUUAAGUCCCGCAACGAGCGCAACCCUUGCCGAUAGUUGCUACAUUCAGUUGAGCACUCUAUUGGGGACUGCCGGUGACAAACCGGAGGAAGGUGGGGAUGACGUCAAGUCCUCAUGGCCCUUAUGGCCAGGGCUUCACACGUAAUACAAUGGUCGGUACAGAGGGUUGCCAACCCGCGAGGGGGAGCUAAUCUCAGAAAGCCGAUCGUAGUCCGGAUUGCACUCUGCAACUCGAGUGCAUGAAGUCGGAAUCGCUAGUAAUCGCGGAUCAGCAUGUCGCGGUGAAUACGUUCCCGGGCCUUGUACACACCGCCCGUCACACCAUGGGAG
RNAcentral lists this ribosomal RNA (496 nucleotides) under uncultured bacterium. RNAcentral describes it as "bacterial SSU rRNA". It matches the Rfam family "Bacterial small subunit ribosomal RNA", at positions 913 to 1410 of the family's 1533-position model. The record is from RNAcentral.